Molecule: transfer RNA, 51 nt
Filed under: Laqueus rubellus
Lineage: Eukaryota; Metazoa; Brachiopoda; Rhynchonellata; Terebratulida; Laqueidae
Description: tRNA-Ser(UCN)
Source: RNAcentral
GGUCGUAUUAGAAUUGCCUUGAAAGCAAUCAGAAGCAAGUGCUUGCGGCCU